Paramuricea clavata is the source of this 587-nucleotide non-coding RNA. Lineage: Eukaryota; Metazoa; Cnidaria; Anthozoa; Malacalcyonacea; Plexauridae. The record is from the annotation of a GenBank genome assembly.
CUCUCCCAAAGGGGAGAUCGAGCAUAGUAAUCGAAGUAAGGCUGUAUCAGAGGAUUAUAAAUUGAUAUAAAUGUGUUUGCAGGAACAUAUAGGGCUUGAUACGCUUUAAAAUUCAUAUGCCCGCUCCGACUUUUUUGCAAACCAUUUCGAUAUGUUCGUCCCAAUUCAAUGUUUCAUUAAGUUUAACUCCCAAACACCGGAAUGUGCAGCAUUCUGCAUGGGAAUCAGUUCAUCAUUAAUCAUUACGGUUAUGAUUUGAUCCAACAUACAUUAAUUUUUGUUGAAUGAUGCUGCAGUUUGUUUUUGACCAGCCAUUGACUAACAUUGUUUAAAUCAUGAUUUAAAUUAUAGGAUUAAGUUCUACGCAGUCUUUCGCAGAUGAAAUGUGAAUCGCACUGUUUGAUGCAGUAUGAUUAAGUCACCAAAAGACUCCAGUACCAAAAAGUUAAUAUUUCUGAGCACAUUAUAUAACUUAGAGCAAUUGAUCAAGGAGCCAACUAGAGUCACAAGCACAUCAUCAUCUUUAAUUGAUCUAGUGUUCACCAAUAAACCCAAUAACAUUUCUACAGUGGUGGCGCCAGGGGGGG